CAAGCAGUCGGAGCAGACUUGUUCUGUGACGGCGUACCUUUUGUAUAAUGGGUCAACGACUUAAUUUCAGUAGCAAGCUUAACCGUUAGGGUAGGCGUAGGGAAACCGAGUCUUAAUAGGGCGCUGAGUUGCUGGAAUUAGACCCGAAACCAGGUGAUCUAUCCAUGGCCAGGGUGAAGGUUAGGUAACACUGACUGGAGGCCCGAACCCACUUAUGUUGAAAAAUGAGGGGAUGAGCUGUGGAUAGGAGUGAAAGGCUAAUCAAACCUGGAGAUAGCUGGUUCUCUUCGAAAACUAUUUAGGUAGUGCCUCAUGUAUUACCAUUGGGGGUAGAGCACUGUUUCGGCUAGGGGGUCAUCCCGACUUACCAAACCGAUGCAAACUCCGAAUACCAAUGAGUAUGAGCAUGGGAGACAGACUGCGGGUGCUAACGUCCGUAGUCGAGAGGGAAACAACCCAGACCGUCAGCUAAGGUCCCUAAUCAUGAUUAAGUGGGAAACAAUGUGGGAAGGCACAAACAGCUAGGAGGUUGGCUUAGAAGCAGCCAUCCUUUAAAGAAAGCGUAAUAGCUCACUAGUCGAGUCGGCCUGCGUGGAAGAUAUAACGGGGCUAAAUCAUGAACCGAAGCUACGGAUCUUCUUUUAGAAGAUGGUAGAAGAGCGUUCCGUAAGCCGUUGAAGGUGUGUUGUAAGACAUGCUGGAGGUAUCGGAAGUGCGAAUGUUGACAUGAGUAACGAUCAAAGAGGUGAAAAACCUCUUCGCCGAAAAACCAAGGGUUCCUGUCCAACGCUAAUCGAGGCAGGGUGAGUCGGCCCCUAAGGCGAGGGCGAAAGCCGUAGUCGAUGGGAAACAGGUUAAUAUUCCUGUACUUCUUGUAAUUGCGAUGGGGUGACGGAGAAGGUUAGGCUAGCACGGCGACGGUUGUCCGUGUUUAAGGUUGUAGGCUUGUGUUUUAGGUAAAUCCGGAACACUUUAANGCCGAGAACUGAUGACGACCACUCAUGUAGUGGGAAGUAGUUGAUACCAUGCUUCCAGGAAAAACCUCUAAGCUUAAAUUACAAGGAACCGUACCCGAAACCGACACAGGUGGUUAGGUAGAGAAUACCAAGGUGUUUGAGAGAACUUGGGUGAAGGAACUAGGCAAAAUNACACCGUAACUUCGGGAGAAGGUGUGCCGUAGUUGNGUGAUNAGANUUNCUCUNUNAGCAUGANNAUGGUCGAAGAUACCAGGUGGCUGCGACUGUUUANUAAAAACAUAGCACUCUGCAAACUCGUAAGAGGACGUAUAGGGUGUGACGCCUGCCCGGUGCCGGAAGGUUAAUUGAUGNNGUUAGCUUCGGCGAAGCUNNUGAUCGAAGCCCCGGUAAACGGCGGCCGUAACUAUAACGGUCCUAAGGUAGCGAAAUUCCUUGUCGGGUAAGUUCCGACCUGCACGAAUGGCGUAACGAUGGCCACACUGUCUCCACCUAAGACUCAGUGAAAUUGAAUUCGCUGUUAAGAUGCAGUGUACCCGCAGCUAGACGGAAAGACCCCGUGCACCUUUACUACAGGUUCACA
This 1557-nucleotide ribosomal RNA is filed under the name metagenome. RNAcentral's name for it is "bacterial LSU rRNA". It matches the Rfam family "Bacterial large subunit ribosomal RNA", at positions 567 to 2116 of the family's 2925-position model. The record is from RNAcentral.